This 406-nucleotide ribosomal RNA is filed under the name uncultured bacterium. RNAcentral describes it as "partial 16S ribosomal RNA". It matches the Rfam family "Bacterial small subunit ribosomal RNA", at positions 29 to 526 of the family's 1533-position model. The record is from RNAcentral.
AUUGAACGCUGGCGGCAGGCCUAACACAUGCAAGUCGAACGAGUGGCGGACGGGUGAGUUAUGUCUGGGAAACUGCCUGAUGGAGGGGGAUAACUACUGGAAACGGUAGCUAAUACCGCAUACCCUCGGAUGUGCCCCGAUGGGAUUGGCUAGUAGGGGGGGUAACGGCUCACCUAGGCGACGAUCCCUAGCUGGUCUGAGAGGAGGACCAGCCACACUGGAACGGAGCCACGGGCCAGACUCCUACGGGAGGCAGCAGGGGGGAAUAUUGCACAAUGGGAGCAAGCCUGAUGCAGCCAUGCCGCGUGUAUGAAGAAGGCCUUCGGGUUGUAAAGUACUUUCAGCGGGGAGGCGUUACCCGCAGAAGAAGCACCGGCUAACUCCGUGCCAGCAGCCGCGGUAAUUC